CCUACGGGAGGCAGCAGUGAGGAAUAUUGCACAAUGGGGGAAACCCUGAUGCAGCGACGCCGCGUGGGUGACGAAGUAUUUCGGUAUGUAAAGCCCUAUCAGCAGGGAAGAAGAUGACAGUACCUGACCAAGAAGCCCCGGCUAACUACGUGCCAGCAGCCGCGGUAAUACGUAGGGGGCAAGCGUUAUCCGGAUUUACUGGGUGUAAAGGGAGCGUAGGUGGCAUGGCAAGCCAGAAGUGAAAACCCGGGGCUUAACCCCGCGGAUUGCUUUUGGAACUGUCAGGCUGGAGUGCAGGAGGGGCAGGCGGAAUUCCUGGUGUAGCGGUGAAAUGCGUAGAUAUCAGGAGGAACACCGGUGGCGAAGGCGGCCUGCUGGACUGUAACUGACACUGAGGCUCGAAAGCGUGGGGAGCAAACAGGAUUAGAUACCCUUGUAGUC
RNAcentral lists this ribosomal RNA (441 nucleotides) under uncultured bacterium. RNAcentral's name for it is "partial 16S ribosomal RNA". It matches the Rfam family "Bacterial small subunit ribosomal RNA", at positions 338 to 795 of the family's 1533-position model. The record is from RNAcentral.